UACAGAGGUCCCGAGCGUUGUUCGGAUUCACUGGGCGUAAAGGGUGCGUAGGUGGUUGUGCAAGUCUGAUGUGAAAUCUCCGGGCUUAACCCGGAAAUGGCAUUGGAAACUGCAUGGCUAGAGGGUUGGAGGGGGGACUGGAAUACUUGGUGUAGCAGUGAAAUGCGUAGAUAUCGGGAGGAACACCAGUGGCGAAGGCGACUACCUGGCCUGUUCUUGACGCUGAGGCGCGAAAGCUAGGGGAGCAAACGGG
Molecule: ribosomal RNA, 253 nt
Filed under: uncultured bacterium
Lineage: Bacteria
Description: partial 16S ribosomal RNA
Rfam family: Bacterial small subunit ribosomal RNA
Source: RNAcentral